Molecule: ribosomal RNA, 484 nt
Filed under: uncultured bacterium
Lineage: Bacteria
Description: partial 16S ribosomal RNA
Rfam family: Bacterial small subunit ribosomal RNA
Source: RNAcentral
AUUGAACGCUGGCGGCAGGCCUAACACAUGCAAGUCGAGCGGAUGAAGGGAGCUUGCUCCUGGAUUCAGCGGCGGACGGGUGAGUAAUGCCUAGGAAUCUGCCUGGUAGUGGGGGAUAACGUCCGGAAACGGGCGCUAAUACCGCAUACGUCCUGAGGGAGAAAGUGGGGGAUCUUCGGACCUCACGCUAUCAGAUGAGCCUAGGUCGGAUUAGCUAGUUGGUGGGGUAAAGGCCUACCAAGGCGACGAUCCGUAACUGGUCUGAGAGGAUGAUCAGUCACACUGGAACUGAGCCACGGUCCAGACUCCUACGGGAGGCAGCAGUGGGGAAUAUUGGACAAUGGGCGAAAGCCUGAUCCAGCCAUGCCGCGUGUGUGAAGAAGGUCUUCGGAUUGUAAAGAACUUUAAGUUGGGAGGAAGGGCAGUAAGUUAAUACCUUGCUGUUUUGACGUUACCAACAGAAUAAGCACCGGCUAACUUCGUG